Molecule: ribosomal RNA, 1487 nt
Filed under: metagenome
Description: bacterial LSU rRNA
Rfam family: Bacterial large subunit ribosomal RNA
Source: RNAcentral
CCUUGGGGAGAAGGCUAGGCCAGCGCGGCGUUGGUUGUCCGCGUUCAAGCGAGUAGGGAGAUCUCUUAGGUAAAUCCGGGGGGUCAAUUCCGAGACGCGAUAACGAGCUGUCAAGGCUUCGGUCUGACGGUGUAGUGGUUGAUGCCAUGCUUCCAGGAAAAGCCUCUAAGCUUCAGGUAACAAGGGACCGUACCCCAAACCGACACAGGUGGUCAGGUAGAGAAUACCAAGGCGCUUGAGAGAACUCGGGUGAAGGAACUAGGCAAAAUGUACCGUAACUUCGGGAGAAGGUACGCCGCUUGGGGUGAUCGGACUUGCUCCGUGAGCUCCGGGCGGUCGAAGUGACCAGGUGGCUGCGACUGUUUAUUAAAAACACAGCACUCUGCAAACACGAAAGUGGACGUAUAGGGUGUGACGCCUGCCCGGUGCCGGAAGGUUAAUUGAUGGGGUCAGCCGCAAGGCGAAGCUCUUGAUCGAAGCCCCGGUAAACGGCGGCCGUAACUAUAACGGUCCUAAGGUAGCGAAAUUCCUUGUCGGGUAAGUUCCGACCUGCACGAAUGGCGUAACGAUGGCCACACUGUCUCCACCCGAGACUCAGUGAAAUUGAACUCGCUGUGAAGAUGCAGUGUACCCGCGGCUAGACGGAAAGACCCCGUGAACCUUUACUACAGCUUUGCACUGGACUCUGAAUCUGUUUGUGUAGGAUAGGUGGGAGGCUAUGAAGCCGGAACGCUAGUUCUGGUGGAGCCAACCUUGAAAUACCACCCUGACAUAUUUGGGGUUCUAACCCAGGCCCGUUAUCCGGGUCGGGGACAGUGUAUGGUGGGUAGUUUGACUGGGGCGGUCUCCUCCCAAAGAGUAACGGAGGAGCACGAAGGUACCCUCAGCGUGGUCGGAAAUCACGCUUUUGAGUGCAAAGGCAUAAGGGUGCUUGACUGCGAGAGCGACGGCUCGAGCAGGUGCGAAAGCAGGUCUUAGUGAUCCGGUGGUUCUGAAUGGAAGGGCCAUCGCUCAACGGAUAAAAGGUACUCCGGGGAUAACAGGCUGAUACCGCCCAAGAGUUCAUAUCGACGGCGGUGUUUGGCACCUCGAUGUCGGCUCAUCACAUCCUGGGGCUGAAGCCGGUCCCAAGGGUAUGGCUGUUCGCCAUUUAAAGUGGUACGCGAGCUGGGUUUAGAACGUCGUGAGACAGUUCGGUCCCUAUCUGCCGUGGGCGUUGGAGAUUUGAGGAAAGCUGCUCCUAGUACGAGAGGACCGGAGUGGACGAACCUCUGGUGUUCGGGUUGUCACGCCAGUGGCAUUGCCCGGUAGCUACGUUCGGACGGGAUAACCGCUGAAAGCAUCUAAGCGGGAAGCCUCUUCCAAGAUGAGAUCUCCCCGGGGACUCGAUCCCCCUGAAGGGUUGUUCAAGACCAGGACGUUGAUAGGUGGGGCGUGUAAGCGCUGUGAGGCGUUGAGCUAACCCAUACUAAUUGCCCGUGCGGCUU